GUAGAGAUAGCUCAAAUGGCGAGAGCGCCUGGUUGAAGCCCAGGAGAUCCCGGUUCAAUUCCGGUUCUCUACACCA
This 76-nucleotide transfer RNA is filed under the name Exilibacterium tricleocarpae. Its description in RNAcentral is "Cellvibrionaceae bacterium R142 tRNA-Phe". It matches the Rfam family "tRNA". Rfam says of the family: Transfer RNA (tRNA) molecules are approximately 80 nucleotides in length. Their secondary structure includes four short double-helical elements and three loops (D, anti-codon, and T loops). Further hydrogen bonds mediate the characteristic L-shaped molecular structure. tRNAs have two regions of fundamental functional importance: the anti-codon, which is responsible for specific mRNA codon recognition, and the 3' end, to which the tRNAs corresponding amino acid is attached (by aminoacyl-tRNA synthetases). tRNAs cope with the degeneracy of the genetic code in two manners: having more than one tRNA (with a specific anti-codon) for a particular amino acid; and 'wobble' base-pairing, i.e. permitting non-standard base-pairing at the 3rd anti-codon position. Lineage: Bacteria; Pseudomonadati; Pseudomonadota; Gammaproteobacteria; Cellvibrionales; Cellvibrionaceae. The record is from RNAcentral.